RNAcentral lists this small RNA (197 nucleotides) under Paenibacillus antarcticus. RNAcentral's name for it is "c-di-AMP sequence". It matches the Rfam family "c-di-AMP riboswitch aptamer (ydaO/yuaA leader)". Rfam says of the family: This family represents a conserved RNA structure found upstream of the ydaO and yuaA genes in Bacillus subtilis and related genes in other bacteria. The ydaO/yuaA element is thought to act as a genetic "off" switch for the ydaO and yuaA genes in its native state. It is believed that the element may be triggered during osmotic shock leading to activation of ydaO, a predicted amino acid transporter gene, and members of the yuaA-yubG operon which code for KtrA and KtrB K+ transporters. Lineage: Bacteria; Bacillati; Bacillota; Bacilli; Caryophanales; Paenibacillaceae. The record is from Rfam by way of RNAcentral.
UUGUUAAUUUCGCUGAGUUUUCGCUUUGUGGCGGAGAACGGGGGAACCAAUAGUAGCCACUUUUUCUCGUGUGAGAGUCGAGAAAUUAGAAGCUACAGGGGUGAAUCCUGACAAGGACAAUUAGGUCUUUGCUGGGUAGAGCGACUCUCACGGCUCGAAUCCGACAGCUAACCUCGUAAGCAAAAGUUUGAGAGAGG